This 777-nucleotide ribosomal RNA is filed under the name uncultured Neocallimastigales. RNAcentral's name for it is "partial large subunit ribosomal RNA". It matches the Rfam family "Eukaryotic large subunit ribosomal RNA", at positions 26 to 645 of the family's 3401-position model. Lineage: Eukaryota; Fungi; Neocallimastigomycota; Neocallimastigomycetes; Neocallimastigales. The record is from RNAcentral.
CGCAUCUGUGCAUGCAGCAUAUCAAUAAGCGGAGGAAAAGAAACUAACAAGGAUUCCCCUAGUAACGGCGAGUGAAGCGGGAAGAGCUCAAAUUUGAAAUCUUAAAGGGUUUCUCUUUACGAAUUGUAGUUUAAAGAAGUGUUUUCUGUUGAGGUUUUGGUAAAAGUUCUUUGGAAUAGGACAUCAUAGAGGGUGAGAAUCCCGUAUUUGACCAUUUACUUUUCAGCUUUGUGAUACACUUUCAAAGAGUCGGAUUGUUUGGGAAUGCAGUCCAAAAUGGGUGGUAAAUUUCAUCUAAAGCUAAAUAUUGGCGAGAGACCGAUAGCGAACAAGUACCGUGAGGGAAAGAUGAAAAGAACUUUGAAAAGAGAGUUAAACAGUACGUGAAAUUGUCAAAAGGGAAGCGUUUGACACCAUGUGUUGUUUUUCUGAAAAUCAAUUAAAGAACUGUUUAUGCUAAGUUGUUUAGACUUUAUCAGCUAACUGUUUAGUUUUGAGCUUUUCUUUAAUGCACUUUUCAGUUAACAAGUCAACAUCAAUUUCUUUUGCUGUAAAAAAGCUUGAGGAAGGUGGCUUGAGAUUCGUCUUAAGUGUUUAUAGCCUCUUGCCUAUGCAGUCGGAGAGAUUGAGGUCUGCAGCGUAGAUCCUUCGGGGCUAAAUGCAUUUGUGCUAAGUUAUAGCAUUUUAUAGACAACUUGUUGACUAUGAUUUGCCUUGUAGCUUACUCGCUUAUGUUAUUUUACCUACGCUUAGGAUGUUGAUCUCUCACAGUCGAGC